RNAcentral lists this transfer RNA (86 nucleotides) under Phycisphaerae bacterium. RNAcentral describes it as "tRNA-Leu". It matches the Rfam family "tRNA". Rfam says of the family: Transfer RNA (tRNA) molecules are approximately 80 nucleotides in length. Their secondary structure includes four short double-helical elements and three loops (D, anti-codon, and T loops). The record is from RNAcentral. Lineage: Bacteria; Pseudomonadati; Planctomycetota; Phycisphaerae. RNAcentral also lists the same sequence under 2 other names.
GCCCGGGUGGCGGAAUUGGCAGACGCGCCAGGUUGAGGGCCUGGUUCCGGUUAUACGGAGUGCAGGUUCGAUCCCUGUCCCGGGCA